This 510-nucleotide ribosomal RNA is filed under the name uncultured bacterium. Its description in RNAcentral is "partial 16S ribosomal RNA". The record is from RNAcentral.
GGAGUUAGCCGGUGCUUCUUCUGUGAGUGAUGUCCUUCCUGCCGGCUAUUAACCCGCAGGCCUUCUUCCUCACUGAAAGUGCUUUACAACCCGAAGGCCUUCUUCACACACGCGGCAUGGCUGGAUCAGGGUUGCCCCCAUUGUCCAAUAUUCCCCACUGCUGCCUCCCGUAGGAGUCUGGGCCGUGUCUCAGUCCCAGUGUGGCUGAUCAUCCUCUCAGACCAGCUACGGAUCGUCGCCUUGGUGAGCCGUUACCUCACCAACCAGCUAAUCCGACAUAGGCUCAUCCGAUAGCGCGAGGCCCGAAGGUCCCCCGGCUUUCCCCCGUAGGGCGUAUGCGGUAUUAGCCUGGGUUUCCCCCAGGUUAUCCCCCGACUACCGGGCAGAUUCCUAUGCAUUACUCACCCGUCCGCCGCUCGCCACCAGGGAGCAAGCUCCCCGUGCUGCCGCUCGACUUGCAUGUGUUAGGCCUGCCUCCAGCGUUCAAUCUGAGCCAGGAUCAAACUCUGA